CACGUCUCUCACUCUUAGUCUCUCUCAGUCACUACUCGCUACUCACAUCUCCGAUCUUACUCUCUUUACAUCUCUCAGUCAUGAAAAAUUGUUCUUACUAACAAGAUCGAACUUGUGCCAAAAAUUCGACUUAGAGUCUAUUCGCUACUCACAUCUCCAAUCGAAAAUUGAAGGUCAAAAAAUUUCAGAUCAAAGCACAAAAACGAUCCCUAAACUAUGAAGAAAUUGCGGCAAAAGCAUAUAAGAAGGACAAAAAAAAGUGAUUCUAAGAAAAGGGGAUCCAAUAGUCCGGCAAGUAAAGCUCCCGCCAAGAGAAGAAGAAUUGUUAAAGCAAAUUUCAGAUAUGAGCUUCCCAAGGUUCAGGUACUCAGCCGC
Long non-coding RNA from Capsicum annuum, 375 nucleotides. RefSeq lists it as uncharacterized. Lineage: Eukaryota; Viridiplantae; Streptophyta; Magnoliopsida; Solanales; Solanaceae. The transcript is spliced from 3 exons. The record is from RefSeq and is a predicted model, not a curated record.